GUGAGACAUAUCCAAAAAUGAAGGAUCUAGAAGGUUAAUCCAUAAAGCUAUGGGUAAAAUCAAAACCUAAAUAUUAAUAAAUAAUAUUACUUGAUAUUUUUAAUUUAUGUAUGUGAGGGGUUAAUGAUUUUGUAAAUUUUUAACAAUAUUUUGUAAAUUUUUAACAAUAUGAGGAUUGGGCCAGAGAAAGCUCAAUGUCAUCACCCCAGAAGAAAUGGGGUAUACAGGCAGCAGUCUUGUAAAGACCUGGGGAGGCCGUGGGUGUCUCUAUAUAAUGCAUAUACAACAGGUGCUGGACACAACUCCCCUCCCUUUUACGGCAAAGGAGUUCCAGGCCAUGCCUAGAGCGUGAUGUUCUUCGUGUCAUGAACACAUCCCACUCCAGCUUUUCUCUGUUCAUGUACAGACCUGCUUCAGUACACCAGACAUCAAUGAGAGUGACCGUGAAGUAAAGUCUUGGAAGAUGAUACAACUGCACCCAGUUCUCCAGUGGGAUCUGACAAAAAUGUAAGACUUUUUGCAGGACUUCUUGCAAAACCUGGAAGGCCAAGGAACAGAGAAUCAAGAUGGGAGCCCAUCUAAUGGUUGUGGAGCAAAGCAUUUGUCAGUGCAAGGUUUCUUCCAGUGGGUUUCAGGCCAGGCACAUGUGCCACUAACAGACGCUGAACAAGAUUCAUAUCGGAUAACUGUGAAUUUUGAUCACGACUGUACUUCCCGGUAUGGGUCACACACUUUGUGCUACCCUAUUGUCAAUGCAUGUGCUGUGGCAAUCAUCUUUCCGACACAUCACUUGACAACAUAUGAUGAUUUUGAAAAUAUUCUUACACAGGCAGUCUGUGCUGGAUUUGAUUUUAGCAGACACUAAGUGCUAACAGGACCAACACUUUGGGCUGUUCCUAGUUUUGGAUUAUUUUCAAAAGUUUUAAAUCUCACUUUAGUUUUAAAAAGACAGUUAGUCUUGUGAGAUUUGUAAUGUUUUGGGGCUAGGCAGCCAAAUUUGUAUAUGAAACAAAAAAAUCUAGUUCAUUGAAAUG
Girardinichthys multiradiatus is the source of this 1034-nucleotide long non-coding RNA. RefSeq lists it as uncharacterized. NCBI's taxonomy places the organism in Eukaryota, Metazoa, Chordata, Actinopteri, Cyprinodontiformes, Goodeidae. The record is from RefSeq and is a predicted model, not a curated record. The transcript has 4 exons.